Molecule: ribosomal RNA, 497 nt
Filed under: uncultured bacterium
Lineage: Bacteria
Description: partial 16S ribosomal RNA
Rfam family: Bacterial small subunit ribosomal RNA
Source: RNAcentral
GAUGAACGCUGGCGGCGUGCCUAAUACAUGCAAGUCGAGCGAACAGACGAGGAGCUUGCUCCUUCGACGUUAGCGGCGGACGGGUGAGUAACACGUAGGUAACCUACCUAUAAGACUGGGAUAACUUCGGGAAACCGGAGCUAAUACCGGAUAAUAUUUCGAACCGCAUGGUUCGAUAGUGAAAGAUGGCUUUGCUAUCACUUAUAGAUGGACCUGCGCCGUAUUAGCUAGUUGGUAAGGUAACGGCUUACCAAGGCAACGAUACGUAGCCGACCUGAGAGGGUGAUAGGCAACAGUGGAACUGAGACCAGGAGCAGACAGCUAAGGGAGGCAGCAGUAGGGAAAGUGAAGCAAUGGGCGAAAGAUUGAAGGAGCAACGGAGCGUGAGUGACGAAGGUCUAAGGAUCGUAAAAAUCUGUUAAGAGGGAAGAACAAAUGUGGAAGGAAAUAUGCACGUCGGGAGGGUACCUAAUCAGAAAGCCACGGCUAACUACGUG